AGAGUUUGAUCCUGGCUCAGGACGAACGCUGGCGGCGUGCUUAACACAUGCAAGUCGAACGGAAAGGCCCUUCGGGGUACUCGAGUGGCGAACGGGUGAGUAACACGUGGGUGAUCUGCCCUGCACUUUGGGAUAAGCCUGGGAAACUGGGUCUAAUACCGAAUAGGACCGCGCGCUUCAUGGUGUGUGGUGGAAAGCUUUUGCGGUGUGGGAUGGGCCCGCGGCCUAUCAGCUUGUUGGUGGGGUAAUGGCCUACCAAGGCGACGACGGGUAGCCGGCCUGAGAGGGUGACCGGCCACACUGGGACUGAGAUACGGCCCAGACUCCUACGGGAGGCAGCAGUGGGGAAUAUUGCACAAUGGGCGCAAGCCUGAUGCAGCGACGCCGCGUGAGGGAUGACGGCCUUCGGGUUGUAAACCUCUUUCACCAGGGACGAAGCGCAAGUGACGGUACCUAUAGAAGAAGCACCGGCCAACUACGUGCCAGCAGCCGCGGUAAUACGUAGGGUGCGAGCGUUGUCCGGAAUUACUGGGCGUAAAGAGCUCGUAGGUGGUUUGUCGCGUUGUUCGUGAAAACUCACAGCUUAACUGUGGGCGUGCGGGCGAUACGGGCAGACUAGAGUACUGCAGGGGAGACUGGAAUUCCUGGUGUAGCGGUGGAAUGCGCAGAUAUCAGGAGGAACACCGGUGGCGAAGGCGGGUCUCUGGGCAGUAACUGACGCUGAGGAGCGAAAGCGUGGGGAGCGAACAGGAUUAGAUACCCCGGUAGUCCAA
RNAcentral lists this ribosomal RNA (773 nucleotides) under uncultured bacterium. RNAcentral describes it as "bacterial SSU rRNA". It matches the Rfam family "Bacterial small subunit ribosomal RNA", at positions 8 to 798 of the family's 1533-position model. The record is from RNAcentral.